RNAcentral lists this ribosomal RNA (301 nucleotides) under uncultured bacterium. RNAcentral's name for it is "partial 16S ribosomal RNA". It matches the Rfam family "Bacterial small subunit ribosomal RNA", at positions 509 to 807 of the family's 1533-position model. The record is from RNAcentral.
CAGUCGCCACGGGAGUACGAAGGGGGCUAGCGUUGCUCGGAAUGACUGGGCGUAAAGGGCGCGUAGGCGGCGAUCAAAGUCAGGCGUGAAAUUCCUGGGCUCAACCUGGGGGCUGCGUUUGAUACUUGAUUGCUAGAGUGGGGAAGAGGGUCGUGGAAUUCCCAGUGUAGAGGUGAAAUUCGUAGAUAUUGGGAAGAACACCGGUGGCGAAGGCGGCGACCUGGUCCUUGACUGACGCUGAGGCGCGAAAGCGUGGGGAGCAAACAGGAUUAGAUACCCCCGUAGUCCCUGUCUCUUAUAC